AGAUUGAACGCUGGCGGCAUGCCUAACACAUGCAAGUCGAACGGCAGCACGGGGGCAACCCUGGUGGCGAGUGGCGAACGGGUGAGUAAUGCAUCGGAACGUAUCCUUGAGUGGGGGAUAACGCAGCGAAAGUUGUGCUAAUACCGCAUAUGCCCUACGGGGUAAAGCGGGGGAUCGUAAGACCUCGCGCUGGUGGAUGAGCCUACGUCCGAUUAGUUAGUUGGUGGGGUAAAGGCCUACCAAGGCUACGAUGGGUAGCCGGCCUGAGAGGGUGAACGGCCACACUGGGACUGAGACACGGCCCAGACUCCUACGGGAGGCAGC
RNAcentral lists this ribosomal RNA (324 nucleotides) under uncultured prokaryote. Its description in RNAcentral is "bacterial SSU rRNA". It matches the Rfam family "Bacterial small subunit ribosomal RNA", at positions 26 to 352 of the family's 1533-position model. The record is from RNAcentral.